GGGGAUGUGGCUCAAUUGGUAGAGUGCUUACCUAGCAUGCAUGAAGUCUUGGGUUUGAUCCUAAUUAGCACA
RNAcentral lists this transfer RNA (72 nucleotides) under Mus musculus (house mouse). RNAcentral describes it as "tRNA-Ala". The record is from RNAcentral. Lineage: Eukaryota; Metazoa; Chordata; Mammalia; Rodentia; Muridae.